RNAcentral lists this ribosomal RNA (868 nucleotides) under uncultured archaeon. Its description in RNAcentral is "bacterial SSU rRNA". It matches the Rfam family "Archaeal small subunit ribosomal RNA", at positions 1 to 874 of the family's 1478-position model. The record is from RNAcentral.
UUUCUGGUUGAUCCUGCCAGAGGUUACUGCUAUCGAGGUUCGACUAAGCCAUGCGAGUCGAAUGUAGCAAUACAUGGCGUACUGCUCAGUAACACGUGGACAGCCUGCCCUUAGGACGGGUAUAAACCCGGGAAACUGGGUAUAAUUCCCGAUAGGUCUCGUCUGCUGGAAUGCAUCGAGAUCCAAAGCUCCGGCGCCUAAGGAUGGGUCUGCGGCCUAUCAGGUAGUAGUGGGUGUAGCGUACCUACUAGCCUACAACGGGUACGGGUUGUGAGAGCAAGAGCCCGGAGAUGGAUUCUGAGACACUAAUCCAGGCCCUACGGGGUGCAGCAGGCGCGAAAACUUUACAAUGCUGGGAACAGCGAUAAGGGAACCUCGAGUGCCAGGUUACAAAUCUGGCUGUCGUGAUGCCUAAAAAGCAUUAUAUAGCAAGGGCCGGGCAAGACCGGUGCCAGCCGCCGCGGUAACACCGGCGGCUCGAGUGGUAACCGUUAUUAUUGGGUCUAAAGGGUCUGUAGCCGGCCGGAUAAGUCUCUUGGGAAAUCUGGCAGCUUAACUGUCAGGCUUUCAGGGGAUACUGUCUGGCUCGAGGCCGGGAGAGGUGAGAGGUACUUCAGGGGUAGGGGUGAAAUCUUGUAAUCCUUGAAGGACCACCAGUGGCGAAGGCGUCUCACCAGAACGGACCUGACGGCAAGGGACGAAAGCUAGGGGCACGAACCGGAUUAGAUACCCGGGUAGUCCUAGCCGUAAACGAUACUCGCUAGGUGUCGGCCACGGUGCGACCGUUGUCGGUGCCGUAGGGAAGCCGUGAAGCGAGCCACCUGGGAAGUACGGCCGCAAGGCUGAAACUUAAAGGAAUUGGCGGGAA